GAUGAACGCUGGCGGCGUGCCUAAUACAUGCAAGUCGAGCGAACGGACGAGAAGCUUGCUUCUCUGAUGUUAGCGGCGGACGGGUGAGUAAUACGUGGAUAACCUACCUAUAAGACUGGGAUAACUUCGGGAAACCGGAGCUAAUACCGGAUGAUAUUUUGAACCGCAUGGUUCAAAAGUGAAAGACGGUCUUGCUGUCACUUAUAGAUGGAUCCGCGCUGCAUUAGCUAGUUGGUAAGGUAACGGCUUACCAAGGCAACGAUGCAUAGCCGACCUGAGAGGGUGAUCAGCCACACUGGAACUGAGACACGGUCCAGACUCCUACGGGAGGCAGCAGUAGGGAAUCUUCCGCAAUGGGCGAAAGCCUGACGGAGCAACGCCGCGUGAGUGAUGAAGGUCUUCGGAUCGUAAAACUCUGUUAUUAGGGAAGAACAUAUGUGUAAUAAACUGUGCGCAUCUUGACGGUACCUAAUCAGAAAGCCACGGCUAACUACGUG
RNAcentral lists this ribosomal RNA (497 nucleotides) under uncultured bacterium. Its description in RNAcentral is "partial 16S ribosomal RNA". It matches the Rfam family "Bacterial small subunit ribosomal RNA", at positions 28 to 507 of the family's 1533-position model. The record is from RNAcentral.